Molecule: transfer RNA, 72 nt
Filed under: Pheidole fervens
Lineage: Eukaryota; Metazoa; Arthropoda; Insecta; Hymenoptera; Formicidae
Description: tRNA-Lys
Source: RNAcentral
CAUUAAAUGACUGAAAAAGUAUUGAUUUUUUAAAUCAACCAAUAAUAGUACCUACCAAUCUAUUUUUAAUGA